UCGUAGGUGACCUGCGGAAGGAUCAUUA
This 28-nucleotide ribosomal RNA is filed under the name Cortinarius traganus. Its description in RNAcentral is "partial 18S ribosomal RNA". RNAcentral also lists the same sequence under 15 other names. The record is from RNAcentral. Lineage: Eukaryota; Fungi; Basidiomycota; Agaricomycetes; Agaricales; Cortinariaceae.